AUUGAACGCUGGCGGCGUGCUUAACACAUGCAAGUCGAUCGGUAACAGGUGUAGCAAUACAUGCUGACGAGAGGCGGACGGGUGAGUAAUGCUUGGGAAUCUGCCUAUUAGUGGGGGACAACCCGGGGAAACUCGGGCUAAUACCGCAUACGCUCUACGGAGGAAAGCCGGGGACCGCAAGGCCUGGCGCUAAUAGAUGAGCCCAAGUCGGAUUAGCUAGUUGGUAGGGUAACGGCCUACCAAGGCGACAAUCCGUAGCUGGUCUGAGAGGACGACCAGCCACACCGGAACUGAGACACGGUCCAGACUCCUACGGGAGGCAGCAGUGGGGAAUUUUGGACAAUGGGGGCAACCCUGAUCCAGCAAUGCCGCGUGAGUGAAGAAGGCCU
Molecule: ribosomal RNA, 389 nt
Filed under: uncultured bacterium
Lineage: Bacteria
Description: bacterial SSU rRNA
Rfam family: Bacterial small subunit ribosomal RNA
Source: RNAcentral